AAGGGAUAGCCUCGGGGAAACCGUGAUGGAUACCAUAUGACACAUCAUAAGGCAUCUUAAGAAUGGUAAACUACGGCGGUAAGAGAUGGGCUCGCGUCCCAUUAGCUAGUUGGUGAGGUUACGGCCCACCAAGNCGGCGAUGGGUAACCGGCCUGAGAGGGUGAACGGUCACAUUGGAACUGAGACACGGUCCAAACUCCUACGGGAGGCACAUGGGGAAUAUUGCACAAUGGAGGGAACUCUGAUGCAGCGACGCCGCGUGAGCGAUGAAGGAAUUCGUUUCGUAAAGCUCUGUUCUAUGGGAAGAAAAGGACGGUACCAUAGGAGAAAGCCCCGGCUAAAUACGUGCCAGCAGCCGCGGUAAUACGUAUGGGGCGAGCGUUGUCCGGAAUUAUUGGGCGUAAAGGGUACGCAGGCGGUUUACCAAGUUGGAUGUGAAAUCUUGUAGCUCAACUACAAACGUGCAUCCCAAACUGGCUAACUUGAGUUAAGGAGAGGUAAGUGGAAUUCCUGGUGUAGCGGUGGAAUGCGUAGAUAUCAGGAGGAAUACCGGUGGCGAAGGCGACUUACUGGACUUAUACUGACGCUGAGGUACGAAAGCGUGGGGAGCAAACAGGAUUAGAUACCCUGGUAGUCCACGCCGUAAACGAUGAGUGCUAGGUGUCGGGGGUCAAACCUCGGUGCCGACGUUUACACAUUAAGCACUCCGCCUGGGGAGUACGUGCGCAAGC
This 731-nucleotide ribosomal RNA is filed under the name uncultured Clostridia bacterium. Its description in RNAcentral is "bacterial SSU rRNA". It matches the Rfam family "Bacterial small subunit ribosomal RNA", at positions 138 to 893 of the family's 1533-position model. The record is from RNAcentral. Lineage: Bacteria; Bacillati; Bacillota; Clostridia.